Non-coding RNA from Aedes albopictus (Asian tiger mosquito), 118 nucleotides. The record is from Rfam. Lineage: Eukaryota; Metazoa; Arthropoda; Insecta; Diptera; Culicidae.
UGCCCAGCAACUCCUAUCCCUACCUCCACGCGGUACCGGCCGGAAACUAUGAGCAACCUUAGGGAAGAUCGGGUAACCAACCCCGGUGGGACCUUUGGUCGUAGGCUGACAGGGAAGG